GAUGAACGCUGGCGGCGUGCCUAACACAUGCAAGUCGAGCGGACAGACGGAGCUUUUGCUUCGCUUCCGCGAGCGGCGGGCGGGUGAUGCACACGAGUAUACCUGACCUUGAAGAAUGACAUAAGGUAGGGAAACCUGAUCUAGCACACGUUAAGAGAUUGAAACGCGGGGUUCAAUGGAGAAAAAGCGAUUUGAUGUCACUAGUAGAUGGUUCCUAGCCGCUUUAGCUAGUUGGUACGGUAACGGCUUACCAAGGCGACGAUGCGUAGACGAUCUGAGAGGGUGAUCGGCCACACUGGAACUGAGACACGGUCCAGACUCCUACGGGAGGCAGCAGUAGGGAAUAUUACGCAAUGGGCGAAAGCCUGACGCAGCAAUGCCGCGUGUGUGAUGAAGGUAUUCGGAUCGUAAAGCUCUGUUAGUAGGGAAGAACAACAGUGUAAGUAAAUAUGGCUGUAUUGACGGUACCUAAUCAAAAAGCAACGGCUAACUACGUG
RNAcentral lists this ribosomal RNA (497 nucleotides) under uncultured bacterium. RNAcentral describes it as "partial 16S ribosomal RNA". It matches the Rfam family "Bacterial small subunit ribosomal RNA", at positions 28 to 507 of the family's 1533-position model. The record is from RNAcentral.